RNAcentral lists this ribosomal RNA (546 nucleotides) under Meyerozyma caribbica. RNAcentral's name for it is "partial large subunit ribosomal RNA". It matches the Rfam family "Eukaryotic large subunit ribosomal RNA", at positions 94 to 657 of the family's 3401-position model. Lineage: Eukaryota; Fungi; Ascomycota; Pichiomycetes; Serinales; Debaryomycetaceae. The record is from RNAcentral.
UGAAGCGGCAAAGCUCAAAUUUGAAAUCUGGCACCUUCGGUGUCCGAGUUGUAAUUUGAAGAUUGUAACCUUGGGGUUGGCUCUUGUCUAUGUUUCUUGGAACAGGACGUCACAGAGGGUGAGAAUCCCGUGCGAUGAGAUGCCCAAUCCUAUGUAAGGUGCUUUCGAAGAGUCGAGUUGUUUGGGAAUGCAGCUCUAAGUGGGUGGUAAAUUCCAUCUAAAGCUAAAUAUUGGCGAGAGACCGAUAGCGAACAAGUACAGUGAUGGAAAGAUGAAAAGAACUUUGAAAAGAGAGUGAAAAAGUACGUGAAAUUGUUGAAAGGGAAGGGUUUGAGAUCAGACUCGAUAUUUUGUGAGCCUUGCCUUCGUGGCGGGGUGACCCGCAGCUUAUCGGGCCAGCAUCGGUUUGGGCGGUAGGAUAAUGGCGUAGGAAUGUGACUUUGCUUCGGUGAAGUGUUAUAGCCUGCGUUGAUGCUGCCUGCCUAGACCGAGGACUGCGAUUUUAUCAAGGAUGCUGGCAUAAUGAUCCCAAACCGCCCGUCUUGA